RNAcentral lists this ribosomal RNA (444 nucleotides) under Tanaocheles bidentata. RNAcentral's name for it is "partial 12S small subunit ribosomal RNA". Lineage: Eukaryota; Metazoa; Arthropoda; Malacostraca; Decapoda; Tanaochelidae. The record is from RNAcentral.
AAGGGUGAAAUCAAAAUGUUUUUUCUUAAUAAUAUACUGAAUUUAAAGCUAGCAUUUAUCAGAGUUGAACUAGGAUUAGAUACCCUAUUACACUGAAAAUUAAUUGUUAAAAACUUGAUUAUUUAUAGUUAUUUUCUUGAAAUUUGAAGAAUUUGGCGGUGAUUUAGUCUUGUCAGAGGAAUUUGUUUUUUAAUCGAUAAACCACGUAAAAUCUUACUCAAGUUUAUAUACCAUCAUUAAAAGAUAAUUUUUAUAGAAUUAAUUAUUAAGAUUUAUAGAUAAUUAAAAUUAGAUCAAGGUGUAGCUAAUAAAUGAGUUAAAAUGAAUUACAAUAAAAUUUAUUUAUAUGGAGUAAUUAUUGUGAAGGUGGAUUUGAUUGUAUAUAAGUUUAAUAAGCUUUUAAGAUAAAAGCUCUAAAUCAUGUACAUAUCGCCCGUCGCUUUC